GCUCGGUUACGCAAAUGGUCAAAGCGGCCCGCCCUCAGGUGCGGGUGUUGAUGGGGGUUCAAAUCCCUCACCGGGCA
Molecule: transfer RNA, 77 nt
Filed under: Streptomyces hintoniae
Lineage: Bacteria; Bacillati; Actinomycetota; Actinomycetes; Kitasatosporales; Streptomycetaceae
Description: Streptomyces sp. DSM 41014 tRNA-Leu
Rfam family: tRNA
About the family: Transfer RNA (tRNA) molecules are approximately 80 nucleotides in length. Their secondary structure includes four short double-helical elements and three loops (D, anti-codon, and T loops).
Source: RNAcentral